RNAcentral lists this ribosomal RNA (316 nucleotides) under Segatella copri. Its description in RNAcentral is "bacterial SSU rRNA". It matches the Rfam family "Bacterial small subunit ribosomal RNA", at positions 1 to 306 of the family's 1533-position model. Lineage: Bacteria; Pseudomonadati; Bacteroidota; Bacteroidia; Bacteroidales; Prevotellaceae. The record is from RNAcentral.
ACAAUGGAGAGUUUGAUCCUGGCUCAGGAUGAACGCUAGCUACAGGCUUAACACAUGCAAGUCGAGGGGAAACGACAUCGAAAGCUUGCUUUUGAUGGGCGUCGACCGGCGCACGGGUGAGUAACGCGUAUCCAACCUGCCCACCACUUGGGAAUAACCUUGCGAAAGUAAGACUAAUGCCCAAUGAUAUCUCUAGAAGACAUCUGAAAGAGAUUAAAGAUUUAUCGGUGAUGGAUGGGGAUGCGUCUGAUUAGCUUGUUGGCGGGGUAACGGCCCACCAAGGCGACGAUCAGUAGGGGUUCUGAGAGGAAGGUCC